GACGAACGCUGGCGGCGUGCUUAACACAUGCAAGUCGAACGGAAAGGCCCUGCUUUUGUGGGGUGCUCGAGUGGCGAACGGGUGAGUAACACGUGAGUAACCUGCCCUUGACUUUGGGAUAACUUCAGGAAACUGGGGCUAAUACCGGAUAGGAGCUCCUGCUGCAUGGUGGGGGUUGGAAAGUUUCGGCGGUUGGGGAUGGACUCGCGGCUUAUCGGCUUGUUGGUGGGGUAGUGGCUUACCAAGGCUUUGCAGGGUAGCCGGCCUGGUAGGGUGACCGGCCACAUUGGGACGGAGAUACGGCCCAGACUCCUACGGGAGGCAGCAGUGGGGUAGAUUGCACAAUGGGCGGAAGCCUGAUGCAGCAACGCCGCGUGCGGGAUGACGGCCUUCGGGUUGUAAUCCGCUUUCGCCUGUGACGAAGCGUGAGUGACGGUAAUGGGUAAAGAAGCACCGGCUAACUACGUG
RNAcentral lists this ribosomal RNA (468 nucleotides) under uncultured bacterium. RNAcentral describes it as "partial 16S ribosomal RNA". It matches the Rfam family "Bacterial small subunit ribosomal RNA", at positions 28 to 507 of the family's 1533-position model. The record is from RNAcentral.